CCCAGCUCCUGUACCCACAACAUGCUCAGCCAUUGGCUGGGAGCAGCAGCUUUGUGAGAUCACGAACUUGGUGUGAGUGAGUGUUGCAGUGGAUCCCAAAGGUGCGGCAGCUGGAGGCUUGUGCUCCUGGAGGGAAAUCUGAGCAGGGCUCUCUUCCACAGCUGCCAUACCUCCUUUACCUGGAACCUGGAGAUGCUCCUUGCAAUGAAUGAUCCAGAGCAGCUUAUAGUCAAAGGGAAGGCUGACUCUGGAACUCAAGCCUUCUCACUCAAAGGCCAGUAGUCUUUGUUUCUGGUGAGGGCCAGAUGAAUGAAGCAUAAAUAGUUUGUCCUGUUUUAUCAGUAGCUGUCACAAGGCAUCAUUUCUUUGGCAGCAGAUCUUAGCACAGUUUAUAUGUUUAAUAUUUAACAUAUAUCAGUAACCUAUGACUCAAGCUGAUCACAGACUCAAAUAUAAUGUACCUUGUGGAUGAGCAAGAAGUAAAAAUAGUGUAAGCAUUUCAUCUUGGCCGGGAAAUAGAUAUGAAUGUUCAUGGAAGAAUGAACAAAGGAAGAGGCUUGCAGGUUGGGUCAAUUAAUUCUCUCUCUGGAAUUUUGAACUGAGAUUCACAGAGAAGCUGUUGUGAAGGAGCCAUGGAUAGCUGGAGUCUGGGUGGGCAGAAUGCCGUGUGUGAAACUCAGUGAAGGACCCUUCACUGAGCCAGGGAUGUGAGCGGCCCCACACUAUGGGGAAUAGUGAAGGAACUGAAGCUGCCCUUCUAGAGAAACAAAGACUUCAAGAAGAUCUGCUGCUGCUGCCUUUCUUCAAAUGCUUGAUGGAUCAUCAUUUUGAAGACAGAUGAGUCUCUAGCGGAAAUAACCAGCCAGAAUAUUGCUUUAUUUGUUCCACCACUGAUACUUUAAUCUGGAAUGCUUAAGAGCCAACCUCUAGCUAUAAGGAAGCAAGUCUGCUCAGAAAGUGAUGAACUCUGUGACCUGGAGAUUAAUUUAAAAUACAGUUUAGUCAUUUAUUGAGCACCACUGUAUGCAAUUCACUGUUCUAGGCACUCUGGAUACAAAUGUGUGCAUGGUGGGCAUCCCUUAUCGGUAAAGACAGCCAAUCAAU
RNAcentral lists this long non-coding RNA (1104 nucleotides) under Homo sapiens (human). RNAcentral's name for it is "HSALNT0377085". The record is from RNAcentral. Lineage: Eukaryota; Metazoa; Chordata; Mammalia; Primates; Hominidae.